Long non-coding RNA from Myotis myotis, 1342 nucleotides. RefSeq lists it as uncharacterized. The transcript has 3 exons. The record is from RefSeq and is a predicted model, not a curated record. NCBI's taxonomy places the organism in Eukaryota, Metazoa, Chordata, Mammalia, Chiroptera, Vespertilionidae.
GCUUCCCCUGGGCCGCGGAAUGUUCCAGGAGCAGGUGGAGGGGGAAGCCCCGCGGCACUGGGAACGCACUCAAGGCCAAAUGACUUGGACACGUUCAAACAGUCCACUGAACGUGUCCAGUAUGAACUUUACCUGAAUUUCUAAAAAGUCAAGUAGGUUCAAGAUUUGCAAAAUGCAUAGAAAUGGAGCAAAUGCGGCUGUGAGGCCUCCCCCCCCCGCAGGCUGCCGUGGGCAAAAAGGUGUUUAUUCCCGACGGGAUGUGGCCCACGGUUCCCGUCUCCCCUCUGAGCGGGGAUCCCCCACACCUGGUGGCGUUUGGGGGGAACCCCUGCUGCUCGCCUGGAGCUCCCUGUUCUGUUCUCAGCCCAUGGAGGGGGACCCCAAAACUCACUUUCCCUUUUUAAUCGUGUUCCUGCCCAGGAGCGGGUCCAGCACGGGGUCCACGGUCUCGCCGAUGUUCUCAAUGAGCAAGGUGUCCCCCUCAGAGAUGGCGUGCUCGAUGAUGUCCAGGCGGAACCCCUCCCCCCCCGCGGCGGGCACCUCUUCUGCCCCAGGCGGAUGGCCUUCAGAUCGCUGCCGAACUUGUUCCUGAUCCACUUGAUGCCCUGCAGCUGGGCGUCCACAAUGAGUGGCCAGCGCUCCGUGUUGCACAGGAUGGUGGCGUUCUCCGUGGACAUGCGGUCGCUGGGGAGCCCCUGGUUGUUCCACGUGGCCACGCCCGCGUCGUCGGUGAGCAGGCUCAAGGGGUCCAGACCCUCCGUGAUGGGGAUGGGGACCUGCCGGGAGGUGCAGCCUUAGUGCCCUCAGGAGGCGCCCGCGGUCCAGGUCCCAGGGCCUCUGCCGUCAGACGGCGGGCGCGCGGCCACCUGGGAGGACGUCAGCGCGGGCCACGGGGCCACAGUCGGACCCGAAUGGCUGGAGCCUCGGUCUCGGGAUGCAGGGAGUUUGGGGGCUGCCUGCCCGGCGGGCCCCUCCCCGGGUUUCCCGGGCCGCGGGCCUCGUACCUUUAGCUUGUUGAUGUAGGGGACCCAGAACUUCUCCAUGAGCUCGUUCCGGUACUUCUUGGUGAAGUAGCCCACGUAGGAGACGAAGGCCGAGAUGAGCAGCACGUCCCCGCACAGCGUGACCCCCUGGGACCUGAAGUUCUGCACCGACUCCGCCCAGCGGACGUUCUCGGACGCCAGGCCGCCCACCAGCCUGAGGGGACCCAGCUUGUCCUGGGCCUCGGCCAGCUCGGCGUUGGCCUCCUCCAGCGCCUGCCGCUUGGGCGCCACGUCGCAGUACACCUCGUAGAAGCGCACGAUGUUGAUGCACCAGGAGCACAGCCCCGCGGCCGCCGUGG